RNAcentral lists this long non-coding RNA (8242 nucleotides) under Malus domestica (apple). RNAcentral describes it as "long non-coding RNA (MDOM_LNC010450)". The record is from RNAcentral. Lineage: Eukaryota; Viridiplantae; Streptophyta; Magnoliopsida; Rosales; Rosaceae.
AUGGCUAGGAACGUUUUAGGAAUGAACAUAAGAGAAAGGUCUCGAUAAUUAACUUACUUAGAUCACUUUGCUCUUAGAACAAAUACAUUCCUUGGAUUCUCUUAUUGCUUAAACACAUGAUACAAUAAAUAGUGAUUAACAAUAAGAUUUGCCCUUCAUUAAACAUGUAAAAGUUUAAUACAUUUAAGUAUUCCAAAAAGCUAUUACAUCAAAUGAGUGGCUUUGUGGGCAUACUUCCAACAAUCUCCCACUUGCACUCAAAGCCACCUUCCCAUGUAUCUAAUACCCAUCUUUUCCAUAUGACGGUCAAGCUGGAUCUGAGACAUUGGCUUUGUCAGUGGAUCUGCUACGUUAUCGGCUGAAGCAACUUUGAGGAUGUUGAUUUUCCCCUCGGCAGCAUAUCUUCUAAUGAUAUUAAAGCGUCUGUCAAUAUGCUUGUUCUUUUGAUGUGCCCUGGGUUCCUUGGCUUGAGCUAUCGCCCCACUAUUAUCACAGUACAAAGUUACUGGUGAUGUAAUGGUUGGAACCACCCCAAGUUCAGUGAUGAACUUCUUCAUCCAGAACGCUUCUUUGCCGGCUUCAGUUGCAGCGACAUAUUCAGCCUCUGUCGUGGAAUCAGCAAUUACACUUUGCUUCUUGCUUUUCCAACUGACAGCCCCACCAUUCAGAGUGAAUACAUAUCCGGAGUUGGAACUUCUAUCAUCGACGUCAGAUUGGAAAUCUGCGUCUGUAUAGCCUUCCACUCGCAACUCUGAUGCUCCUCCAUACACGAGGAACAUGUCCUUAGUUCUUCUUAAGUACUUAAGGACCGUCUUGACAGCUCCCCAGUGUUCUGAUCCUGGGUUAGAUUGAUAUCGACUAGUAAUGCUCACAGCAUAUGCAAUAUCUGGCCUUGUGCAUAUCAUGGCAUACAUGAGGCUUCCUAUGGCUGAAGCAUAAGGAAUACAACUCAUUUGCCGUAUCUCUUCAGGAGUUUUAGGUUCCAUGGAUUUAGAAAAGGUGAAUUCCAUGUCCAACAGGAAGAAAACCUUUCUUAGAUUGUUCCAUCUGGAACCUACUUAGCACCUUAUCAAUGUACAUAGAUUGGGAUAAUCCAAUUAAUUUUCUGGAUCUAUCACGAUAGAGCUUUAUCCCAAGUACAUAAGAUGCAUCUCCCAAAUCUUUCAUGUGGAAGGUUUUGGACAACCACACUUUUAUAGAAGAAAGUACUGCAGUGUCAUUCCCGAAUAGUAAUAUGUCAUCUACAUAUAACACUAGGAAUACAACUGCAUCUCCAACGACCUUUUGAUAAACACAAUUGUCGUCUUCGUUUUGAGUAAAACCAAACGUUUUGAUCUCAUUGUCGAAACGAAUGUUCCAGCUCCUGGAGGCUUGCUUAAGUCCAUAAAUGGACCUUUGAAGCUUGCAUACCUUAGUCUUUUUCAGACUUGGACACGAAACCCUCGGGUUGAGUCAUAUAGAGCUCUUCCUCUAGGUAGCCGUUCAGAAAGGCCGUCUUCACGUCCAUUUGCCAUAUCUCAUAAUCAUGGUACGCAGCUAUCGCAAGCAAAAUCCGAAUGGACUUAAUCAUGGCUACAGGAGAGAAAGUUUCUUCAUAGUCAAUCCCUUCUCUUUGCCUGUAACCCUUGGCUACUAAUCUAGCCUUAUAAGUCUCCACGUUCCCAUCAACGCCUAUCUUCCUCUUGAAGACCCAUUUGUUUCCAACAGGUACAAUACCUUCUGGAGGGUCUACAAGAGUCCAGACCUGGUUUUGAUACAUGGAAUCCAUCUCGGAUUUCAUGGCCUCUUGCCAUCUCUUUGAAUCAAUGUCGGACAUUGCUUCAGUGUAGUCUCUAGGGUCCUCCUUUGUUUCAUUGUCACCUAGAAGGUACAAUUCAUCAAAGUCAUUGUCUAAGCCAUACCUCUUAGGUGGCUUACUAACCCGUUCAGAUCUACGUGGAGCCAGGGGUUCAGGAACAGGGUUGUCAAUAUGUCUAGUGCUUGUUUGUGGUUCAUUAUUAAUCUCAUCAAUUUCCAUCUGUUUGCUUAUAGUCCCUUUGAGAACGAAUUCGUCCUCUAGAAACUUAGCAGUUCUGGCGACAAAGACUUUCUGGUCGUCGUCAGGAUGGUAGAACUCAUAUCCCAUAGUUUCUUUAGGAUAUCCCACAAAAUAGCAUCUUACUGAUCUCGCUUCAAGCUUAGUAGCUUCAAGCUUCUUGACAUAUGCUUCACAACCCCAAAUCUUAAUGUGUUUAAGACUUGGCUUUCUUCCAUGCCAUAUCUCAUAGGGCGUUUGUGAAACUGAUUUGGAAGGUACUCUAUUAAGCAAGUAAGCUGCUGUAUAUAGAGCGUAUCCCAAGAAUGUUACUGGUAGAUCAGCAGAACUCAUCAUAGAACGAACCAUGUUCAUCAAGGUUCGAUUUCUCCUUUCAGAAACUCCAUUGAGUUGUGGAGUUCCCGGUGGAGUCCACUGUGAUAUUAUUCCACACUCUUUGAGAUAAUCUAGGAACUCAUUACUCAGAUAUUCACCCCCUCGAUCCGAUCUUAGGGUCUUUAUCUGUUUCCCAGUUUGCUUCUCAACUUCAUUCUUGAAUUCUUUGAACCUUUCAAAGGAUUCUGACUUGUACUUCAUAAGAUACACAUAGCCAAACCGAGAGUGAUCGUCGGUGAAUGUGAUAUAGUAAGAGAAGCCUCCUCUCGACGUAGUAAACAUAGGUCCACAUACGUCAGUGUGGAUUAACCCUAGAAUUUCAGUGGCACGCUCUCCUUUUCCAGUAAAUGGAGAUUUGGUCAUUUUCCCUUUCAAGCAACAUUCACAAGUACCCAUCUGGUCAUUACCCAAUGGGUGGAUAUAUCCGUCUUUCGACAUCUUGCGAAUCUUAUCAAGGUUCACAUAUCCAAGUUUAAGAUGCCACGUCUUUUCUUGGUUAACAUCUUCUCUAGCCCUUUUGGGUUUUGAGGUAUUCCCGCUUUCAAUACAGUGCAACCCACUAUUCGUCUCUAGGUGAAAAAGUCCCUCUAUCAUAUUACCAUGAGAGAUAAUACGACCGUUCAAGUAUAAAGUGCAACUCAUUUUGUCAAACAAUACUGAGUGCCCAUCUCGUAAAAGCUUAGAGAUGGAAAUCAAAUUCUUUAUACAUGAAGGAAAAUAUAAACAAUUUUUAAGUUCCAGGACUUCCCCAGAGGGUAGGUUAAGCAUGUAGGUGCCUAUUGCUUUUGCUGAGAUUUUAGUGCCGUUCCCAACUCGCACAAUCAUCUCCCCAUUGCUCAGUGACUUGCUCCCCACUAGUCCCUGCAUCGUAUUACAGAUAUGUUGACUAGCGCCUGAAUCAAAUAUCCAGGAAUUGGAGCUCACUGUAAAAGAACUCUCUAUGACAGAAAUAGUCUCUUCAAAAGUUCUUGUCAUAAGGCUCGCAAUGCGCACCCUGUAUUUCUUCUUCCAACGUUCAUCCUUUCCACAAUGAAAGCAUGUUCCUUUAGAUUUCUUUGCCUUCUUCUUAUGCAACCUUUUCCUUAUGUUUGCAUUCUCACUCCCACUGUCCAUUUUGAAACCUUUUUCAAAUCUACAGCACAUGUCAAUCAUCUCUUUCAAAGAAUGAUCGAAUCUAUUCACUUUAUAGUUUACAAUAAACUUAGUGAAAUCAUCCGAGAGAGAUGCAAGGAAAAAGUCUUGGGCCAUUUUCCCAUCGAUGGAAGUUCCUAAACUUUUAAGAUCUUUAAAUAUCUUUUCCACCUUUUGUCCAUGUUUAUGAACCGAUGUCCCCUUUGCCAUCUUGGCAUUCAUUAAACUACAAACAUUUGAGAAUCGUACAUUACUAGUCUCAAUGUCAUGCAUCUUAUGCAAACUUUCAACCAUGGCACAAGAAGUGUCCAUGUGCUUAUGUAGCUUCAUAAGCUCCUUACUAAGUGAAGUAAGGAUUAAGCAUUUGGCUUGUAAGUCAUCCUCAUAGUGUCUUACAUAAUUUUGACACUCCUCCUUUGAAGCUAGUUUCGUAGGAGGUACAUGAGGAGGGGAUUGCUUAAGCACAUACAAUAUGUCUUUCACCUUUGAGACAUUCUCAAUAUGGCGAUACCAAGCAAGGAAACGUUGGCCCUUAAGGCCACUUUUGUCAAGUAUAAUGGUGGGUAUAAUUUUAGGCAUGUCGUUCACUACAUAACAUAACAGAAAUCGUAUUAGAUUGUUUGUUUAAAACUAUUUGAUUGGGUCUUUGAAUCAAAUAGUACCACCCACUAUUUUUGGCAAAUUCCACAUCCCUCAAUAGAAUUCGAGAGUUAUAUUGAACUCUUAGCGGGUUAUGGGAGACUCACCAUUACCAAGCCCACCUCACGAUGAUACGAUGUUUGGCUAGCAAAAAUAAUGAUGAGAGAAUAACGCAUUAUUCAUUUACAACUUUUGUAAUUACCCAUCCGUUUGGCCUCUAGAGAAUGUUGCCUCACGAUGAUACGAUGUUGGCACCAUUGCACUUAGUUUAAGUUAUUCCCACCAUGCUUAGUUUGUGAAGGGGUUCAAGAAUAGCCUCACGAUGAUACGAUGUCGGCUACCCUCGUUGCCUACACUAACCUCAUCAUAUGUUUAUGGACUCCUCCUGGAUGUAAGCACAUACUUUGUACUCCCCCAUGAUAGGGUGAAGCCGGUGUAUGAGUCACAAACGCUUGGAGCCCACCACGGUGGAAGGCCUACGAAGAGAUAUUCUAAACAUCUCUCGCUUAUCAACUUAAAUCUUCAUUUUGAGGGAGUAGUUUUGGGCUACAUCAAAAUCAUUUUAAUCAUAUUAAAAGAACUUGGGCCUAUCACAACUAUUGGUCCAAGUUAAUAUGAAUUAGUAGCAUAUAAUACUCCCACUGUUUCGUUGAAACAAGCGAGACUAUAUGGAACUACUAACGAAUGCAUUGCAUCCUCAUAUGGACUAUAUAGUCAUAUUAGGUUUUAGGAUGAUUAUGAACCGUUUGAUUUGAUCCAACACGAGCCUUGUGUUGGACCUUGGGUUUAAGGUAGAUAGUUGUUGAUUUUAGUUACGCGUUUAAUCCAAUUAACCGUUAUUUCCUAUUGGGCGUUGGACCCAACUAUUCCAUUUUGCAUACAUAUAAACAAAAGGAAUACAUGAAAUAAUAAGAAGGGCUUAUGCCUUUUUACAACACAAAUCAAAUGAUGGACUUAUGUCCAUUUACAACAAAUUGAAUUAAUCAAAUUACAUUCAAAUCUAUACUACUAAAACCCAAACAUUCAUAAUGUAUAUCGGCCAAUCACAUAGCUCAAUUAUCGUGGCCUUUGGUUCAUAAUCAUCCUUUUCUUAAUCAAUCACAUUAACCAAGAAAACAACUUUAAACAAUUGGUUUUUGGAUCCAUAGAAAUGAUUUAAAUGGAACUAAAUGAAAUGAAAAUCCAAUUCUCAUUAAAGAGACAAAACAAUUUUGUUCUCAUUUUAUUUGGGCCAAAAGGAAACUAUGACCACAACAAUUGGGCCAUAAUGCAAAUACAAAAACUUUUGGGGUCACUUUGUAUAAACACAAUAGUCCACAACUUCAUGUAAAUACAACUAGAUCCCAAAAUUUUAAUAAUGUAAAAACAUCAUUAAAGGAUCAAAACAAUUUGUCCUUUAGAGUUUUAGGGCCUAAACGUAAAAACGUAAACUUUUGGGCCAAAAUGCAAAAAACACAAAAGUAUCAAAACUUUAUGUUAAUUGCACAAAAGGCCCCAAAAGGACCCCCAUUAGGGGUGGCCGGCCAUUUGGAGUGAACAAGUGAAAAAAUUAAAUUUUUGAAAAAAUUUUUGCAAGUUGAUUAAAGUACGUAAGCAAGUGGAUUGGUUGGUGAAGAAAGUCUUUGCAAACUUUAAAGACUUGUAAGAAAAUGUAAGAAAAUGUUUUGUAAACAUUAAUGACAUUUUCCUUUCUUCACCCUUAAGUUAUAAUACAAAAUUAAUAAACCAAAACUUUAUGAAAAACAUAAAACCUUUAAAUCAAAACUUCAAAACUUUUUGUUCUUGGCAAGAACUUCAAGAACAUGAAGAACAAACAUGAAAAACUCAUAAUAGCUCCAUGGAUGUUUUCAUUCACCAAAACUCAAUUUUUCACCACUCAAAAGAGGGCUAAUAUCCUAGGGUACUUAGGGGUUCCAAAAGUCACCUUAAAACCAUUUUAACAAGACAAACAUGAACCCAAAAAGUCACCCUAAGGAUUUGGCCGAAUUUCCCAAAACUCAUGGCACCAAAUUUUAGUUCCAAUAUUCAUGCUUAAAUGAAAUACAUCUACAACAUUUGAGAUGCUAAAUUUUCUAGCAAAAUUUAUAUAUUCAAAAGCAAGAACAAAGCUUGUAACAUUUACAACAUUUAAAUCACAAAAUAUGAACAUCACAAAACCCAAAAGGAUUCACCAUACACUAGGCCUAGGCUCUGAUACCACUUGAAGGAAAAAAUUUGUCCUAGCUAAGAACAAGUAUGAACAUUUGAAUACACAUGCAAGCUAUUAACACUUUAAAGUAGGCAUGCAUCCAAAAAACAAUUCAUGAAACCCAUGACUUUCAAAGCCUAGUAUAUGGUGAACCAAAAUAAACUCUUUAACAAUAUUAAAGAGAAGUAAAGAUUAAGUGAUUCUUUACCCUUGAAGCUCAUCCUUGUUUACACAAGGGAUUCACCCAAGUGGAGGGCCUUCAAGUCACCUCCAAGCUCCUUGAAUCCUCCUUGUGUUUUCCUCCCUUUAGUGCUCCUUUGAUGAUUUGAGGAAAAAGGAUUUGUUCUCCAAAACACCAAAAGCUUGAUGUCUCUAAGUCUCUUCACCAAGGUUGUAUAUUGUGAAGAUGAUAUGGAUGACUAAGGAAAGAAGAGAUUACUAGAUGUCCCUCCCCUUAGUGGCCGGCCUCCUUAGAAGAAAAUGGAGAAAAUGUUUCACCCAAUUUCAACAAGAAGAACCCUAAUUAGAAAAUAGCUAUAAAGUUGCUUUUAUAACCUUUUCUUUGGUGAGUGGCAAACUUGUAAUUAAGCAAACUUUGCCCAUCCACCCUAAUGGCCGGCCAUCCUUUGUCAUUGGGCUAAUUUGCCCAUUUUGUUUUAGUUGUCAUGCAACUUAAACAUAAUGGGCCUUGUGGACCAAAACGCUUUUGGGCCCCGAAACCCAAAACCAACAUAUAAGCCCAAUACGAACCUUUCGUAUAAUUAAUUAACUAAUUAAUUAAUCUUGACCAUUCUUCAAUUAAACCAUUUAAUUGCUUAUCCAUUUCAUUUGAUAUCUUCACAUACAUCCUUACUCGGUGUACGAUCCAUUAGGUUCCAAUUAGCGAGGCAGUGGGCGAUGUUACUCUUAACGAUCGAUUGUGAAUUGAAACCACAUUUCAAUUCUCCCUUUUGUUGAUUAGUGUUUGCUAACCAUUAGGGCUUCCACAAAACAUGAGUGACGCCUAGCAGCAUAUCAUGGUUACCCAAGCUAAGUAGAAUUGGUUGGAGAACCUAUCCAGUUACAACUACAAUGCAAUACGGUCCUUCUCUAAUACAAUACUCUUAAUCACAUUGUUUAAGUGAUAGUUUGUUUCAUGUCUACUAUCCAAUGUGAUACUUUCCUAUAUGAUUCCCUUGAAUAUGAUUCGGAACAAACUUCCUAAGUCAUAUUCAUUUGCUUUGGCCAAAGACUUUAGAAUCAUAUCUUAGAGUAUUCUCCCUCCACCAUGGAAGGUUAGAGAUCCCUUGUUGUGCAUUCAUAUGCCUACAUGACUAGAUAGCUUGACCCCAACAAUGCCGUGGACACUCCAAAGGAAUGCCGUUGACAGGAUCAAAGAUCAAGGACCUAACCAUUAGACAUCGAUGAUGCCUCAUGUCAAAGGACUACUUUGCAUAUUGCAACUUUAGAGUUCAUACAUGACAUGUAUGUUCGAACUCUCUUUUGAUCGUAGUUCAGUGUACUCGAUUACUCUUUCGAGCACCUAUGUGUUUGUCUUAGUGUCCAACACCAAAUGACUUGAGACUAGUCAUACUCACGCUUGAGUCAACACAACACAUACUAACCUUAGCGGAUUGUCAAUGCCCAAUUGGCAAUCCUAUGGCUAGGAACGUUUUAGGAAUGAACAUAAGAGAAAGGUCUCGAUAAUUUAACUUACUUAGAUCACUUUGCUCUUAGAACAAAUACAUUCCUUGGAUUCUCUUAUUGCUUAAACACAUGAUACAAUAAAUAGUGAUUAACAAUAAGAUUUGCCCUUCAUUAAACAUAUAAAAGUUUAAUACAUUUAAGUAUUCCAAAAAGCUAUUACAUCAAAUGAGUGGCUUUGUGGGCAUACU